RNAcentral lists this ribosomal RNA (511 nucleotides) under uncultured bacterium. RNAcentral's name for it is "bacterial SSU rRNA". It matches the Rfam family "Bacterial small subunit ribosomal RNA", at positions 28 to 524 of the family's 1533-position model. The record is from RNAcentral.
GACGAACGCUGGCGGCGUGGAUUAGGCAUGCAAGUCGAACGGUAUCAUCCUUUCGGGGGUGAGAGAGUGGCGAACUGGUGAGUAACACGUAGGUUAAUCUACCCUCAAGACGGGGACAACCCAGGGAAACUUGGGCUAAUACCGGAUGUGAGCAACUUUUAGUUGUUUGAAAGGUGGCGUAAGCUGUCGCUUGGGGAUGAGCCUGCGUCCUAUUAGUUAGUUGGUGAGGUAACGGCUCACCUAGGCAAUGAUAGGUAGGCGGCCUUAACGGGUGGUCGCCCACACUGGGAUUGAGAUACGGCCCAGACUCCUACGGGAGGCAGCAGUCGAGAAUAGUCUACAAUGGUCGGAAGACUGAUAGUGCGACGCCGCGUGAACGAUGAAUCCCUUCGGGGUGUAAAGUUCUUUUAUAUGUGAGCAGUGCUUCUUAUAUUAACAGUAUGGGGAGAGAGAUAUUAGCAUAUGAAUAAAGCAAACGGCUAAACUCCGUGCCCAGCAAGCCCGCGGUAAA